CGACAAACAUAGUCCUAACGACAACAGCGUUUGUGGUUCAAGAUUUCCGAUGUUAUCAGUGCGAAAUUAUCUAACAAGUUAGAAUCGGAUUUCGCAAACACUUGACGCUCGCCAAUACGUAAACUCCUUUUGAAAUCACUGUUGUGCGUUUCUAUUCAAUGAGUAUUUUGUUCGAUGAAACCAAUACAAAAAGAGGGCGUCCCUAGGGAGGACUAUGGGGCUGGUUACAGAUGCUUAUCGUCAGGCCAUCCUAUUCACGACUUUUUGGUUCAUACAGAUUUACACCAUUACACCGUAGGUCAUGCACCCAGAUGAUCGUGAAAGCAUCUUUUAUUUACGAAAUUAUCGUAGCGAACUCAAUAUUGCAUGAAAAAAUUCUCCCUCACUUUCUGUUCGUGUGUUUAUUUAAUAUAGGAAGAAAAAGGGUGAGUUUGCUUAGUCGGUAAAGAUAGGAGAGCUAAAUGCUCUCAGGCUAGCUGGAUGCUCCACGACAAUUUACCAUGCUUUCGUGGACACCGGUGUUUCUACCAAUAUUUUUGUUUAUCGUCAUGAUUAACAUACAACGUAAUUGAUAUAUCGUCAGCAUAGAAUUAACUAAUUGUAAAUUUUUUAGAAAAAAAAUGGUACUCACAAAACAAGAGUCUAACAAUAUGAAGUAAAUCGUAGUAGUAUAUAGUUCAUUUGGUUCAUUUAAGCAGCCGGCUGGAGGCACGCAGCUGUUGAUUAGUUGUUUUCGAUUAACCUCACAAUACAUUUGGGUCCAGGAGGUCCAGGAGCAGGCACUGCGUCGGCUGCUGAUCUUUGUCAGGCGAGGUGCUAAAAUUGUGCACAACGAUGUUGACACCCUCAAAUAAACCCUGUGAAUGUUGAGUUACACAAGAUAAUUUUGUUCCGAACACAAGAAAAAUGCUUGAUCAAAACAUGGAAAAAAACAAACAGAUGUCACGAAUCCACGUAUCACAUAGCAGAAGGACUGGAGUUAACUUCAAAGAAUUUAAUCUUGAUAAUGCAUAGCAAAUUUUGCAAAUUUGUCAAAGAAAUAAGAAAGAAACGUUUUUGAAGAAGAGAUAAAGCAUCCGAGAGGAUAUUGGUAUUUAAAAAAUAAUACUGUUAGAGGAGGUGUCUGAGUCAAUACUUUGCAUUAAUUAUAUUCUGAUAUUGUGACACAUUGAGAUAUUUUCAAUUUAAUAUAUUUAUAAGUUACAAUUUUCGAUCUCAAAAGUAAAGAAAGUGGUUUAUACUGGAAUUAUAAACCAUAGCAUAUAGCAAUAUCACCUUUUAUUUAUCACACUGGCUUCCAUAAAUAUUUAAUUUUACAACCUUGCAUGAUUGAUUAUAAUCAAAAAUAAUACAAUUGAAUUGGCUAAUUGGGUAACAUAAAAUCUGCUUUAGUAAACUGAUAAAUUGUUUAGAUUCCUUAAGCUUUUGUAUAUAAUUUCAGAAGUUGCAGAUUUUGUCGCAAGAGGCAGAGUUUGAGACAGUGUGUAUUCGUGGCUUGUUUAAGAGUGUAAUUCAUUACACUCCUGUAUUAAGUCAUUUAGACCAGACCUAGUCGACCAUUAGAAUGAUAUGCAGAAGUCAUAUAUAUUUUUAUACGAGACAAAUUGUUAGAGAAUACAAAUUCGAAAAUUUCAGGUGACUUGAAAAAUUAACAACGGAGCUAGGAAUGGAACCUGGUGUCUAGAGAUGCUUUGCCGGAGCCUUACUCCACUAGAUCACCUAGCCGCCUGACUACAAUGUUAAUUUCUCUCAUCAUCUGUAUUCGAAAUUUGAAAUAGCGCGAGUU
This is a long non-coding RNA of Neodiprion virginianus, 1786 nucleotides long. RefSeq lists it as uncharacterized. The transcript is spliced from 5 exons. The record is from RefSeq and is a predicted model, not a curated record. Lineage: Eukaryota; Metazoa; Arthropoda; Insecta; Hymenoptera; Diprionidae.